Molecule: long non-coding RNA, 474 nt
Organism: Peromyscus eremicus (cactus mouse)
Lineage: Eukaryota; Metazoa; Chordata; Mammalia; Rodentia; Cricetidae
Exons: 3
Source: RefSeq, a predicted model, not a curated record
ACCACAGUACAGAGAUUCUGUGGCAUUCAGGGUUGAGCACAGCGUGGAGGGGUUCCACAAGCCAUGGUACAGAGGAUUCUCCCAGGCCCUGCUGCAGCCUGCCAGCUCAAGAGUACAGCCACAGGCUUAAGAACACAGCUCCAUGCUACUGAAUACUGAUCUGAGAAUUGAGAAGCUCCACAGUCCACUUUGGGACCUCUCCACUCUUCAUAUGUCAUUGAUGACCUUCAGUAGUGAAUCAGUGGUAAACAAAGAUGAGCAUCUCUAAACAUGCAAAAUGAGGAAGACAUGUCGUUAUCAUCUAUGGUAUUUUGAACAUAUCAACCCCAGCAUCUGUAAAAUUUGUAUCUGUCUUUAUGAGUAAUAUGGUUUCUCCAUUGGAAUGAUGUCUGCUGUAUCUUUUUGAUUCUUCCUUUAUUUGUGUGUGUACCCUUACCCUAAGAAUCUGAUUAAAUUUGUUCCUUUUCAACUACA